GACGAACGCUGGCGGCGUGCCUAAUACAUGCAAGUAGAACGCUGAAGGAGGAGCUUGCUCUUCUGGAUGAGUUGCGAACGGGUGAGUAACGCGUAGGUAACCUGCCUGGUAGCGGGGGAUAACUAUUGGAAACGAUAGCUAAUACCGCAUAAGAGUAGAUGUUGCAUGACAUUUACUUAAAAGGUGCAAUUGCAUCACUACGAGAUGGACCUGCGUUGUAUUAGCUAGUUGGUGGGGUAACGGCUUACCAAGGCGACGAUACAUAGCCGACCGGAGAGGGUGAUCGGCCAGACUGGGACGGAGACACGGCCCAGACGCCUACGGGAGGCAGCAGUAGGGAAGCUUCGGCAAUGGACGGAAGUCUGACCGAGAAACGCCGAGGGAGUGAAGAAGGUUGUCGGAUCGUAAAGCUCUGUUGUAAGAGAAGAACGAGUGUGAGAGUGGAAAGUUCACACUGUGACGGUAUCUGACCAGAAAGGGACGGCUAACUACGUG
RNAcentral lists this ribosomal RNA (495 nucleotides) under uncultured bacterium. RNAcentral describes it as "partial 16S ribosomal RNA". It matches the Rfam family "Bacterial small subunit ribosomal RNA", at positions 28 to 507 of the family's 1533-position model. The record is from RNAcentral.